CCGCUCCCGGUAAAACGGGACGGCCCGCCAGAGGACCCCUAAACUCUGUUUCUAUAUGUAACUUCUGAGUAAAACCAUAAAUAAAUCAAAACUUUCAACAACGGAUCUCUUGGUUCUGGCAUCGAUGAAGAACGCAGCAAAAUGCGAUAAGUAAUGUGAAUUGCAGAAUUCAGUGAAUCAUCGAAUCUUUGAACGCACAUUGCGCCCGCCAGUAUUCUGGCGGGCAUGCCUGUUCGAGCGUCAUUUCAACCCUCAAGCACAGCUUGGUGUUGGGACUCGCGUUAAUUCGCGUUCCUCAAAUUGAUUGGCGGUCACGUCGAGCUUCCAUAGCGUAGUAGUAAAACCCUCGUUACUGGUAAUCGUCGCGGCCACGCCGUUAAACCCCAACUUCUGAAUGUUGACCUCGGAUCAGGUAGGAAUACCCGCUGAACUUAAGCAUAUC
Molecule: ribosomal RNA, 442 nt
Filed under: Fusarium oxysporum
Lineage: Eukaryota; Fungi; Ascomycota; Sordariomycetes; Hypocreales; Nectriaceae
Description: eukaryotic LSU rRNA
Rfam family: 5.8S ribosomal RNA (bases 90-243)
Source: RNAcentral